This is a non-coding RNA of Phrynosoma platyrhinos (Desert horned lizard), 71 nucleotides long. The record is from the annotation of a GenBank genome assembly. NCBI's taxonomy places the organism in Eukaryota, Metazoa, Chordata, Lepidosauria, Squamata, Phrynosomatidae.
GCCAGCAUAGUAUAAUGGUUUGGAUGUUGAACUAUGGCUCUGGAGGCCAGGGUUCGAAUCCUGGCUUGGCC